Molecule: non-coding RNA, 565 nt
Organism: Maylandia zebra (zebra mbuna)
Lineage: Eukaryota; Metazoa; Chordata; Actinopteri; Cichliformes; Cichlidae
Source: RefSeq, a predicted model, not a curated record
CUAUCAAUGACAAUGAAGAAAUAUUAACUUCUGUGACUUCUGAUUUGCCUCACUUCUCCGAGACUGCAGCUCAAGAUGACCAGGGGAAUGAUGCCUGUGUGACUUCUGGUUCACCUCCUGUCCCUGACUCAGUUACUAAAGGUUUAUGUGUUUCAUCAAGGCGGUGUGUGAAGAGACCAUGGUCUGAGGAGGAGAUAGGAGCGGUGAUGAAACAUAUGAAGCCUUUUAUUGAAAACGGUAUCACUGUCACCAACCAGCAGUGUCUGAAGUGCAAAGAAAAGGAACAACCUAUCUUGGAGACGAGAUCUAUUCAAAACAUUCGAGAUUUUGUGCGCAACAGAGGACUGGCCUUUAAAAAAAAUAAAUAAAUGUUAAACACUAAAUGCACUUUUUGACAGUCUGAGCCUUUACCUUUCUGGGCCUGAUUUCAAGGUUAGUGUUCUCCAUUCAAAAAGUAUGUAGUUGACUUCACUGUGCUCACAGGCAGUGUUUUGUUUUGAUGUGUGGUUAGCCUGAGUCUUUUAAUGCCAGGAUUCACUUUUAUUUUCCUUCAAUAAUUGUUACA